This is a long non-coding RNA of Mesocricetus auratus (golden hamster), 1031 nucleotides long. RefSeq lists it as uncharacterized. Lineage: Eukaryota; Metazoa; Chordata; Mammalia; Rodentia; Cricetidae. The transcript has 3 exons. The record is from RefSeq and is a predicted model, not a curated record.
CGUGGAAAGGAAUGAUCUUGACCUGGGGCAGCCUCGAAGAACUUGGGACCGCCCCUGAGACCCCCCCAGAUCCCCCGUGAGGAGGACGACGCCUCGCACAGGGUCGCUAGGAAACACAGUGAUGGGGGAACCUGCCUAGGGCAGCCAAGCCUGCCCGACCCGAGACGUCCGGGCGAUUGACUGCCCUCCUGCCCCGCCCACAGUCUUUCUGAGGAUUGGCGGCUUCCUUCUUCCUGUCCUGCCCCCUCCGAACGGCCCGCUGAUUGGCUGCGGCUUUCUGGUCAGCCCCGCCCCCUCCCUGGCGCUAGUAUCAGCGCAUCGAGCACGGCCUCGGUCUUUCUGUCUCCGGCUUGGAGGCCGAACCUCCGCAGCCAGGUCCCCAACCCGCAGUCGUGCGACUGCCUCGGAUCCAAGUGCAGGUUGAAAGCUACAAGAAACUGAAAGCCUUGAAGUGUGUUCCAGGGGGGUGUAAUGCAUCCAAGGUGAAGUAGGCUCACCCGUGUCUCCUUAGGACUAGGGCUGUGGAAGCAGAUUCAUUGCCACCCACUUUGCUACUGAGAUGGGUGCUGUAAUCCCAUUUUACAGAUAAGAGUAAGUCCGGGCGGUGGCUGCCCACGCCUUUAAUUCCAGCACUCGAGGCAGAGGCAGUGGAUCUCUGAGUUCAGAUCAUCCUGGUCUACAAAAGCUAGAGUAUCAUGUGAGAGUAUCCCUGAAUAGCCUUGUAAUUGCACUGAAGGAGGUUUCUCCAUGCCUGGCUGCCCUAGAACUUAGAUUAGCUUGCCUCUGCCCCUGAAUGCUGGAAUUAGAGGCCUGUGCCACCACACCUAGCUAUGACAUUGUAAGGGACUUACGUAUAGCAAAAGGGGGGGGGUUAAAUGACUUGCUAGGUCUAGGUCAUUUGGCUGUGUUGGUAUGGGAAGUGGUGCUUGUAUUCCCCUGGAUGCUAGAACAAGUUCUUUGCUACUGCCUAGUCAUCUAUAUAUUGCUUUACCGCUGAUUUUCCAGAAUCUUAAAUAAAAGCUAUUUUAGAA